CCGUGUCUUCCAGCUGGAGCGGAGAGAACCUGGAUGUGCCAGCACAGAUGGGAAGAGAGACUGGGGGCUCCUCAGCUGCCAGGGCCACAGAAGGCUGUUCCCAUGGCAGUGGAGGGAAGAAGCUCCCCACCAAGCCCCCAGGAAGUGAGCGUGGAUUAAAACAGCACCGUCUUAGAGUGCCCCCCCCCCCUCGCGCUCACCAGCCAGAUGGCAUCCUUGGCAACUGCGGAGGCAGCAGCGUAAUUAAGUAACGACGUAAAUCAAGAAGGAACAGAUCGUUCUCCGUGAACCGGCAAUUUAGUGGCGCAGAUGCACGUGGACCUCGCAGGGAUCCUUCGCUGGGGCAGCAUGUGUGUGGGGAAGGCGGGAGGAGGGCGAGUUAGACUCGGAUGUGCAGACCGGCAGGCUGUCCAGUGGGGCUCGGCUUCCCCCUGUGACCUCGCUGCUCUAGCUGUCCUGGGCGCCGUCUGCUCUCACGGCCGCCUUCCAUCCUGUUCUACACUCGGUGGGAAUUCUGUGCUUCCUGGGGCAAGUAAAUGGCAAUAAAGGUAAACUGAGGUAC
Gracilinanus agilis (Agile Gracile Mouse Opossum) is the source of this 562-nucleotide long non-coding RNA. RefSeq lists it as uncharacterized. NCBI's taxonomy places the organism in Eukaryota, Metazoa, Chordata, Mammalia, Didelphimorphia, Didelphidae. The record is from RefSeq and is a predicted model, not a curated record. The transcript has 2 exons.